ACUCCUACGGGAGGCAGCAGUGGGGAAUCUUAGACAAUGGGCGCAAGCCUGAUCUAGCCAUGCCGCGUGAGUGAUGAAGGUCUUAGGAUCGUAAAGCUCUUUCGCCAGGGAUGAUAAUGACAGUACCUGGUAAAGAAACCCGGCUAACUCCGUGCCAGCAGCCGCGGUAAUACGGAGGGGGUUAGCGUUGUUCGGAAUUACUGGGGCGUAAAGCGCGCGUAGGCGGAUUGGAAAGUUGGGGGUGAAAUCCCAGGGGCUCAACCCUGGAACUGCCUCCAAAACUCCCAGUCUUGAGUUCGAGAGAGGUGAGUGGAACUCCGAGUGUAGAGGUGAAAUUCGUAGAUAUUCGGAAGAACACCAGUGGCGAAGGCGGCUCACUGGCUCGAUACUGACGCUGAGGUGCGAAAGUGUGGGGAGCAAACAGGAUUAGAUACCCUGGUAGGAUAGCG
Molecule: ribosomal RNA, 449 nt
Filed under: uncultured bacterium
Lineage: Bacteria
Description: bacterial SSU rRNA
Rfam family: Bacterial small subunit ribosomal RNA
Source: RNAcentral